Molecule: microRNA precursor, 108 nt
Filed under: Rhodnius prolixus
Lineage: Eukaryota; Metazoa; Arthropoda; Insecta; Hemiptera; Reduviidae
Description: microRNA miR-2a precursor
Rfam family: mir-2 microRNA precursor family (bases 22-88)
About the family: The miRNAs are transcribed as ~70nt precursors (modelled here) and subsequently processed by the Dicer enzyme to give a ~22nt product.
Source: RNAcentral
AAUGAAGAAGUCGAUGGAAAGUCAUUCGUCAAAGUGGCUGUGACUGUGUAGUCUUGAGUCAUAUCACAGCCAGCUUUGAUGAGCGACUUUGCAUUUAUGUUUGUCUCA